AGCAGAUAUAGUUUAAUGGUAGAAUAUCAUCCUUCCAAGUUGAGGAUGCGGGUUCGAUUCCCGUUAUCUGCUA
RNAcentral lists this transfer RNA (73 nucleotides) under Apicomplexa sp. WK-2018_Corallicola. RNAcentral's name for it is "tRNA-Gly". It matches the Rfam family "tRNA". From Rfam's summary of the family: Transfer RNA (tRNA) molecules are approximately 80 nucleotides in length. Their secondary structure includes four short double-helical elements and three loops (D, anti-codon, and T loops). The record is from RNAcentral. Lineage: Eukaryota; Apicomplexa.